AGUGAACGCUGGCGGUAGGCCUAACACAUGCAAGUCGAACGGCAGCACAGUAAGAGCUUGCUCUUACGGGUGGCGAGUGGCGUACGUGUGAGGAAUACAUCGUAAUCUACUUUUUCGUGUGGGUUAACGUAGGGAAACUUACUCUAAUACCGCAUACGACCUACGGUUGAAAGCAUGGGAUCUUCUGACCUUUCGCGAUUGAAUGAGCCGAUUUCGGAUUAGAUAGUUGGCGGGGUAAUGGCCCACCAAGGCGACGAUCCGUAGAUGGUCUGAGUGGAUGAUCAGCAAAAGUGGAACGGAGACAGGGACCAGAGUACGACGGGAGGGAGCAGGGGGGAAUAUUGGACAGUGGGGGAAAGCAUGAUACAGCAAGACCGAGUGGGAGAAGAAGGCGUUGGGGUUGUAAAGCCGUUUUGUUGGGAAAAAAAAGAAGCAGGUUAAUACCAAGCUGUUCUGACGGUAACAAAAGAAAAAGCACCGGCUAACUACGUG
This 492-nucleotide ribosomal RNA is filed under the name uncultured bacterium. RNAcentral describes it as "partial 16S ribosomal RNA". It matches the Rfam family "Bacterial small subunit ribosomal RNA", at positions 29 to 507 of the family's 1533-position model. The record is from RNAcentral.